AGUUUCAGUUUUGCAAGAUAAAAAUUUCUGGAGAUUUUAGUGGCUAUGCUUAUGGGAUAGAUUAAGAUUGCCAUGAUCUGAAGAGGGAGGAUUUAUUUGUGUCCUCCUCCUAUAUGAAAUGGCUGAACAGAAAAAA
Molecule: non-coding RNA, 136 nt
Organism: Myotis davidii
Lineage: Eukaryota; Metazoa; Chordata; Mammalia; Chiroptera; Vespertilionidae
Source: Rfam